GAUCUGGCUCAGGAUGAACGCUAGCUACAGGCUUAACACAUGCAAGUCGAGGGGCAGCAUCAUCAAAGCUUGCUUUGAUGGAUGGCGACCGGCGCACGGGUGAGUAACACGUAUCCAACCUGCCGACAACACUGGGAUAGCCUUUCGAAAGAAAGAUUAAUACCGGAUGGCAUAAUUAUUCCGCAUGGGAUAAUUAUUAAAGAAUUUCGGUUGUCGAUGGGGAUGCGUUCCAUUAGG
This 237-nucleotide ribosomal RNA is filed under the name uncultured bacterium. Its description in RNAcentral is "partial 16S ribosomal RNA". It matches the Rfam family "Bacterial small subunit ribosomal RNA", at positions 15 to 245 of the family's 1533-position model. The record is from RNAcentral.